RNAcentral lists this ribosomal RNA (408 nucleotides) under uncultured bacterium. RNAcentral's name for it is "partial 16S ribosomal RNA". It matches the Rfam family "Bacterial small subunit ribosomal RNA", at positions 355 to 774 of the family's 1533-position model. The record is from RNAcentral.
UGGGGAAUAUUGCACAAUGGGCGAAAGCCUGAUGCAGCGACGCCGCGUGAGGGAUGACGGCCUUCGGGUUGUAAACCUCUUUCAGCAGGGAAGAAGCCACAAGUGACGGUACCUGCAGAAGAAGCGCCGGCUAACUACGUGCCAGCAGCCGCGGUAAUACGUAGGGCGCAAGCGUUGUCCGGAAUUAUUGGGCGUAAAGAGCUCGUAGGCGGUUUGUCGCGUCUGCUGUGAAAGCCCGGGGUUAAGCCCCGGGUGUGCAGUGGGUACGGGCAGACUAGAGUGCAGUAGGGGAGACUGGAAUUCCUGGUGUAGCGGUGGAAUGCGCAGAUAUCAGGAGGAACACCGAUGGCGAAGGCAGGUCUCUGGGCUGUUACUGACGCUGAGGAGCGAAAGCAUGGGGAGCGAACA